UACAGAGGUCCCAAGCGUUGUUCGGAUUCACUGGGCGUAAAGGGUGCGUAGGCGGUCGGGCAAGUCUGAUGUGAAAGCCCCGAGCUCAACUCGGAAAUGGCAUCGGAAACUGCUCGGCUAGAGGAGUGGAGGGGGGAUUGGAAUUCUCGGUGUAGCAGUGAAAUGCGUAGAUAUCGAGAGGAACACCCGUGGCGAAGGCAAAUCCCUGGACACCUCCUGACGCUGAGGCACGAAAGCUAGGGGAGCAAACAGG
RNAcentral lists this ribosomal RNA (253 nucleotides) under uncultured bacterium. Its description in RNAcentral is "partial 16S ribosomal RNA". It matches the Rfam family "Bacterial small subunit ribosomal RNA", at positions 524 to 776 of the family's 1533-position model. The record is from RNAcentral.